This 522-nucleotide ribosomal RNA is filed under the name uncultured bacterium. RNAcentral's name for it is "partial 16S ribosomal RNA". It matches the Rfam family "Bacterial small subunit ribosomal RNA", at positions 355 to 873 of the family's 1533-position model. The record is from RNAcentral.
UGGGGAAUUUUGGACAAUGGGCGAAAGCCUGAUCCAGCAAUGCCGCGUGUGUGAAGAAGGCCUUCGGGUUGUAAAGCACUUUUGUCCGGAAAGAAAUCCUUGGCUCUAAUACAGUCGGGGGAUGACGGUACCGGAAGAAUAAGCACCGGCUAACUACGUGCCAGCAGCCGCGGUAAUACGUAGGGUGCAAGCGUUAAUCGGAAUUACUGGGCGUAAAGCGUGCGCAGGCGGUUUGCUAAGACCGAUGUGAAAUCCCCGGGCUCAACCUGGGAACUGCAUUGGUGACUGGCAGGCUAGAGUAUGGCAGAGGGGGGUAGAAUUCCACGUGUAGCAGUGAAAUGCGUAGAGAUGUGGAGGAAUACCGAUGGCGAAGGCAGCCCCCCUGGGCCAAUACUGACGCUCAUGCACGAAAGCGUGGGGAGCAAACAGGAUUNGAUACCCUGGUAGUCACCCCUAAACGAUGUCAACUAGUUGUGGGGAUUCAUUUCCUAGUAACGUAGCUAACGCGUGAAGUUGACCGCC